AGAGAAGCAAAACAGUGAUGUGGAGCAAAACUCAAAAAGCGGUCUCAGUUCGGACUGAAGGCUGAAAUUCGCCUUCACGAAGUCGGAAUUGCUAGUAAUGGCAGGUCAGCAUACUGCCGUGAAUACGUUCCCGGGCCUUGUACACACCGCCCGUCACACCAUGAGAGUUUGUAACACCCGAAGUCGGUGAGGUAACCUAUUAGGAGCCAGCCGCCUAAGGUGGGAUAGAUGAUUGGGGUGAAGUCGUAACAAGGUACC
RNAcentral lists this ribosomal RNA (258 nucleotides) under uncultured bacterium. RNAcentral describes it as "partial 16S ribosomal RNA". It matches the Rfam family "Bacterial small subunit ribosomal RNA", at positions 1243 to 1500 of the family's 1533-position model. The record is from RNAcentral.